GACGAACGCUGGCGGCGCGCUUAACACAUGCAAGUCGAACGGAAAGGCCUGCUUUCCCUUGUGGAUUGCGGGUACUCGAGUGGCGAACGGGUGAGUAACACGUGAGUGAUCUGCCCCCAACUUGGGUAUAAGCCUGGGAAACUGGGUCUAAUUCCCGAUAGGACUGCAGGGUGGUGCCUGUGGUGGAAAACGAUUUUCUAGUGGUUGGGGAUGAGCUCGCGGCCUAUCAGCUUGUUGGUGGGGUAAUGGCCUACCAAGGCGGCGAGGGGUAGCCGGCCUGGGAGGGUGGACGGCGACAUUGGGACUGGGAUACGGCCCAGACUCCUACGGGAGGCAGCAGUGGGGAAUAUUGCACAAUGGGCGGAAGCCUGAUGCAGCGACGCCGCGUGGGGGAUGACGGCCUUCGGGUUGUAAACUCCUUUCGACCGCGAGGAAGCCACCUGGUUGGAAGGGUGGUGACGGUAGUGGUAGAAGAAGCACCGGCUAACUACGUG
Molecule: ribosomal RNA, 494 nt
Filed under: uncultured bacterium
Lineage: Bacteria
Description: partial 16S ribosomal RNA
Rfam family: Bacterial small subunit ribosomal RNA
Source: RNAcentral